Phlebotomus papatasi is the source of this 47-nucleotide non-coding RNA. The record is from Rfam. NCBI's taxonomy places the organism in Eukaryota, Metazoa, Arthropoda, Insecta, Diptera, Psychodidae.
UCAACGGUCCUCUUUAGGACCAACACAUAUUCCUAAAUUAGCUUUUG